This 253-nucleotide ribosomal RNA is filed under the name uncultured bacterium. RNAcentral's name for it is "partial 16S ribosomal RNA". It matches the Rfam family "Bacterial small subunit ribosomal RNA", at positions 524 to 776 of the family's 1533-position model. The record is from RNAcentral.
UACGGAGGGGGCUAGCGUUGUUCGGAAUUACUGGGCGUAAAGCGCACGUAGGCGGCUUUGUAAGUUAGAGGUGAAAGCCCAGGGCUCAACCCUGGAAUUGCCUUUAAGACUGCAUCGCUUGAACAUCGGAGAGGUAAGUGGAAUUCCGAGUGUAGAGGUGAAAUUCGUAGAUAUUCGGAAGAACACCAGUGGCGAAGGCGACUUACUGGACGAUUGUUGACGCUGAGGAGCGAAAGCGUGGGGAGCAAACAGG